AGUUCUGUUGAAUGGGGAAGUUUCACAAGACAUCUGUGCAAGGUAUAAAUACAGGUACAUGAACUGUGUCUCAGAAACAGCAGCACAGGGUGGGAGAAGCACCACCAGCAAUCCCUGUCCGAGACGCUGGCAACAAGGGAGACCAAAGACUUUUGCAACUGUCCAGCUGAAGCUGCAAAGCAUCUGGGAGGAGGCACAGAUGGGACAGCACCUAGACUGACAACCAGGCUGUCAUCCAGCUCCCACAGCAAGAAAUCUGAACUACAGAAGUCCUUCUGAGAUGGGA
This is a long non-coding RNA of Columba livia (rock pigeon), 286 nucleotides long. RefSeq lists it as uncharacterized. The record is from RefSeq and is a predicted model, not a curated record. NCBI's taxonomy places the organism in Eukaryota, Metazoa, Chordata, Aves, Columbiformes, Columbidae. The transcript is spliced from 3 exons.